This is a long non-coding RNA of Gallus gallus (chicken), 5690 nucleotides long. NCBI's taxonomy places the organism in Eukaryota, Metazoa, Chordata, Aves, Galliformes, Phasianidae. The record is from Ensembl.
CCAGCCCCGAUCGCGGUCGAUCGAGCGCCGACCCCUCGUUCCGGGGCCUUACCCGCAAAGCGCUUCCUCAGAAGGCGCGUAAGCCUGGUUGGCGUGUGCCGAAAGGCGUCAGGGCGUGUGGAAAGCCCGCCGCGGGUGCGGGAUGAGGCCCAGGGUGUCUGUGGGUGAUGAACAGAAGUGAAAACUUGGGAAAACUGGAUGGACUGCGUGCCAGCAGCACGGUGGAGGCGAGAGCCCCUGCAAGCUCCAAGGCCUGUAGGGCGGAUACCCCGAGGAGAAGCAGUGCAUCCUUCGGAGGUGGUACCGGGACCGUGGCCGUGGUGGCCUCCCCAUGUUGGGUUUUCAUGGCUGGGGGCUUCCCUGCCUUUUUUUUCUCUCCAAAUGAUGCUGGGAUUACACGGGUUCCCAACUCCCUCGUUAACUCCAUGCUCAAGACCUCAGCGUUCAGCUGCAGCAUCACACGGAUACGCGUGAAGCGGUGAGCACGGCGUUUAGCUGCUGCCUCUCGCAGAGCCACGGCAGGGGGAGAAUCGUAGCCACGUGAAGAAGCAGUGGGGGGCAAUCCCAGCACUAAAUUCCCAUCUCUAAAAGAUCACUGUAGUGCACGUCCCGCUGAGCAGGACUAGGGUAUGCGCCUUGCUGUUGGUGCUGGGAGCUUGGCAUUCUGCUCCCAAUGCUUGGGGUGUAUUUCACGUCCCAGCGGUGAGCAGCCACCCUUUCCCAGGCAAGGCAGCUGAGGCUUUACCCGAUCUCGUUUCUUGAGUCAUUUCCUGUGGAUUCGUGAGAUCUCACGUUUGAUCUCUGCUUUCACUCACAUGCUAAUUUGGGUGCUGCUAAACGAUCCAUUCAUCUCACUGCGCAACCCUCCUGUGAUUGCAUCUAUGCCGUUCGUAUGGACAAGGAUUGCAUGGUACGUUCCAAUCGUUCAGGUUGCCACGCUCUGAGCAGCGCUUGCAGAAUGACUGCUUUAUUUUUUUCUGAAUGGAACAGCCUGCCGAGGGGAGAAUUCUGCUCGUGCACUGCUCAUAUACAGCCUUUCCCCGAGAUGUGAUCGUUGCAGCACCUCCAGUUAAUUAGCCAUCGGUGGCAGAGCUUCAAGACUAAUGAUUUGCAUGCUGUGAAUGUUCUGCUCUUUAUGUUUGAAUGGGAAGUUCCUUGUGCAGAGCAAUAUUUCAGCUGUUGCAGAGAACUAGAUGCGAGGACAUUUGGGCAGGAAAUAGACUUCCCCAUGGGCUGCUGUACCUUCAGCUGACACCGAUUUGGGGUGGGAAGCGCUAGGAUUUGGCACAGCAGAGCUUGGAAUGCAGGCUUGCCAUUGCCUUCCCACGUUCUUGCCUUGACAACGUGUCCCUCUGGGUUGGAGACUCCCACACUGCUGGUGUAGGAACCCCCGUAUGAGGGCUGGCACCUUGGUGACCGCACUGAUUUCAGUGCCUUUUCCACUGACUCACUCUGUGACUUGGAAUGAGGGAAGAGUAGAAGUUGGCAGCCCUGAAUCACACCAUCCUCCUGAUGAUUACCCCUCACCCGAUCGUUCUUCUGAGCAGCAAUCGUAUUUUAAAGGCAACAAUAACCAUAGAAUCAUGGAAUCAUUAAGGCUGGAAAAGACCUCUGAGAUCAUCUAGUCCAACCAUCAACCCAUCCCUGCCAUGCCCACUAAUCGUGUCCCUCGGUGCCACAUCUACACCCAUUUUUCCCCCCUGUUGCAACAGCUCAGAACGUAAGAGCUGCAGAAGUGAUCUGCAACAACUGUAGUCUUCCCAUGAGGUUAUUGUGAGGGACACCAAGAGCAGAAAGGGAUCCUCACUGCCAAAUGGGUCGCUUUGCCCCCCAAAAACAAACCCACUGCUUUCUGAGUUCUGAAACCAUGCACUCUCUUUCGGCCUCUCCCAAAAUAAAAGCAAGGGUCGUUGAAAUUAAGUGACUGUGACUUAAAGGGGCCUUUUCAAAACCCUUGCUUUCCUAUUGGGUUCUCUGCCGUCCUCUUAGCAUUCGGCGGUAAAUGAUUUAUAGCCCUCCUUUCAUGCUGGUUUGGUGUUUCCUUUGUGUGCAUAACUUCCUUUUGAUAGAAGGGGAUGAUAACAAAACCCAAAUUCUAAUCUCUCGAGCACAUGACACAUUGUCUUUGCGGUGCAGAUAGCAGGAAACUGCUCUGAUCUGGAGUUCAGUGCGUCAGCCUCCUUCCCACCCCUCAAAAUACACCCGGUGAAUUCAGAAAGCAGAGCUACCAGGGUGGGCAGAGCUUUGCUUUUGGCUAUUCACUGGCCCUUUGCAUCCAGCGUGCACAACCACUGCCACUGUUGCUCUGGGAGUCCUGGGGUUAGUCCUACAGUCAGGCUGUGGUGGCACCAGGGAAGGGCUGCCCUCCCUCGAGAUGCCUUUCCACCCUUGGGAGCUACAGCUACAGCUGUUUCCAGAGUCUCCUGGGAGCCGAGCAAACAGAUGCCAAAUGAUCUGCCUUCGGAGAGAGCAGAGAUGGGUGGAUCUGGGGAAGACACCAGAGCUGCGUUCAUCUCUUCUUCCCCUCCUGAGGGACUAUUGGCCAGGAGAUAAGUUCCUGGGGAGCCCCACUUGCUAUGGGGUGGCUCUGGUUGGGAUAAAGCCACAGCACGCAGUGAGGAGGCAGGGAGGGUAGGUCAGCAUCUCACAGAGAGCAAUACCUGGCCCUGCUAUCCUCCGAGACACCUGCAUCACCGCUCCCGAGAAUUCCCAUGAAAAAUAAUCACAGGCUGCUUUUAUGUCCUUGUAAUCGUGAACACAUUAUGCUUCCCUGCCCACUUCUAAAGAGAAAAAAGUAAUUAGUCACCCCACACAAGCCUUUUGGGGUGGCACAUGUGCUUUGGUAUGUAUUCCAGCUCUGCCUACAUGGAACGGGGAUGCACAGCCCUGCUCCCUGGUUGUCUGUUAGGUGCUGCCCUUUGCAGGAGCUGGCUGCAACCUCUUGCACUUACAGCCAGUGACAUCUCCAGCAGCACUUGCUGGUGUGAUGAAGGAGGCCUGCAAUUGCAAAUCCAGGGGAUGGGAGCUUCAGGCCAGCAAAGCAAAACAACUCAAGGCAUGGGCCAGCAAAGUGAAAUAACCCAAGGCAUUGGUGUGCCGAAGUGGCCACCAAAGGGCUGCUUUCAUUCUUCCUGCUGUUGUAUCCUUGUGCUAAAAGUGCAAAUUGAAGUUCACUGAAGGACUGUGGCAGAAGAAUUAUCCAGAAUUUGCUGAAAAACUGCAGAUGGAAGCUAUUGUGGAAAACAGGCUUUGUUUCCAUCCUGGGAAGAAUUUGGUUUACGUUUCAGGGAUUGUGAAGGUGACCUCCUAGGUCCAUGGCAGGUAAACAUUUGCCUUUGAUUCUGUUUUUCUCUUCAAGUCUAUAAACCCCAGCAUUUACACUUAAAUGGAUGUGCUGAAAGCUGUGUUUAGGAAGAGAGAACUUCAUCCCCUCCUGCACGUACUUCUGCCACGUGAGGAUUGUUUGGCUGCAGCUUUGCAAAGGAUGGCCGGAGGGGUGGUUUGUGCAGGAGGAGGCACGUGGCUCCAUGGCUGCCUGGUUCAGCCCCACUGCUGUCAUUGGUUUUGCCUUCGAUAGACCUAUCACAGAAUCUGGGCCCCUCCUUUAUUUUUCCCAUCUUGCUGCUUCUCUCCUUCCAGAUGUGUUCCUCCCGUACCCAGUACGUAUUGCCUAGUGUUUAAUGGCUGCUUUAUGUACCAAAAUCAUUGCUGCGCUAUUUACUGUAUUGCCACGUGAAGUGCUCUGGAUAGUGGUGACUUUGGAAAGCUGCUUCUAAAUCAGCUUCUGCUUUGAGGAGAUUUGGCCCUUCUCUUGGGUCUUCUGGUUCCAAGGAAGUAAUGAACAUGAAAUCUCUCUUACAAGACUUGAGCAAACUGAUCAAAGUCCUGGGAGAUGGCAACCCAGAUUUUGGCCCUUAAAUUUCAUCAUACAGCAUUUUCUCGCUGUGGUCAUAAACGGCACACGGCUUCACGUGAGGUGUCAUAUACUGACUGUCACUCGUAUAUCCCACAAUGUUUGGUAAAGGCAAGAGGAGCAGGAGAAAUGAGGGCACGAGGAAAUGCCCAGGUGUCAGCAGCACCAGUCAGCCUCCGGAGCACCAGGAGUCAUGUAGGACAGGAAAACCUCUGCUGGAGCUUGAGUCCCAGUGCUCUUUACACAUGUCUAAUCACUGGGCUGCAAGUGGUAUUUAAUCACCUAAAACCCUCUCUGCAAUUUAUUACUGGAAAGAACAGAAAUCUGCACCAACGUACUUUCGAGAAAUACCAGAAUGACUCCAAACUUAGGAGCAUUUUGGAAUCAUACUGGACGUUUCAAGCUAAAUACUACACUGCUUUUCUUCCCAUGGUUUAUAUCAGCAUGGAUUAAAACAGCACUGUGCUGUGGAGCCGCCCCAUCAGACUGUACAAUGGCUCUCAUCUUUUGCUUGGCGCUGCCUGAGUGAAUGUGCUCCAGUCUGCAUUGCCACCCUAGGAAAAAUUCUUUACAUCUCCAUUUCCAAGUUUUAAAAUAUCUCCAUAAAGAUGAAACACAUCUUUAUUUUUUCUCAAUGCAAAGAUGUGCUUUCACCUACAGAUAUUUUUUUGCUGCCUAAACAAGAGCCCUUCCCUUUGCACUUGUGCCAACAUGGAACUUGGAUAAAGAAUUAGGCUUAGAUUCCUAAUUACAGCGCUUCCCCUCUACUUUUUUGUAUUUGUUAUUGUUUUAAUAACGACUCUCAGGCGCACGCCAUCUAUCCUCUUUCCAAAGAAGGUGUUUUUGAAGAAGGCACACCCUUCAGAAAGUGUUUUGUGGCAUCAUAUUUGUGCCUUUUGUGUCCAGAGCCAUCCGCCUUUUCAAUUCGAAACGCACUCCUCAGGGUCCUGCAUCACGGAGGCCUAAAUUAAAACACACUUACCAUAAAGGGGUGCAGCGUAUGUGUUCAUACUGAAAACUGCACUGUGACACGAAAGAUGCCCGAACACCACACGGUCAUUCUGUGUGGAAUUCCCUCUGGCUGGGAGGUGCGCGUGGCUGUGAAACCCCUGCCUGGCACUGGAGGCACCUUCCUCUUCUACUUCUAUGUGAAGCAGCCCUCAUCUACAACUUGCUGUUGGAAGGAAGGGUUUUACAAUCUCCAUUUCAAGUAUCAGACCUUGGGUGUCCCCCUCUUGGAACACCGUGGCUGGAGAGCACCCUGGGCUCGUUUCAGAGAUGUGAAACUCUGCGGUGUGCCAGCGUGGUGCAUGUUAGCCAGUCACCCAUGGGGCUACCAGGCUUGACACAAUUAUGCUGGCCAAGCUCACAAGGAGGAGGAAGUAUGGGAAUGUUCACUACCAAAGCAAUCUGUGAAUACUGCACAAAGACACUGCCUCCUUUGACAUUUCCAUCCACGGACCUGUAGUUACAGGCAGUUUUGAACUGGAAGGUCUCUUUCGAGUGGAAAAUGCCACUUCAAAAUAGCAAACCAACGGGUUGUUUUUAAGAGGCAUUGCAAUAAAAUGCUGUGGCAUUCUCAAGCCAUUUUUUUCCCCCCAAGACUGUAGAUAUGAAUGUCUUUUCCCCCUAUAUUUGGGGUACAGUUGAAAACAUUUGCGAUGUUUCAUUCAUUUUGGAAGCUCCUAAAUUGCAUGGUUUGAUUUUGCAAUUCUUAAUGGACAUCUUUUGCUUUUUUGUCCUCUUUCAACUCAUAUCCUGACUGCUCUGGAUGGGG